AAGGCGGAACCGAAAAGCCUUACGAGUAGGAA
Molecule: non-coding RNA, 32 nt
Filed under: unclassified sequences
Description: DUF805b RNA
Rfam family: DUF805b RNA
About the family: Bacteroidetes, Chlorobi (1 example), Proteobacteria. Lineage (Flavobacteria)
Source: RNAcentral